GCAUGUCAGGACAAGCUGGCGCUGGCAUCUGCUGCUGUAUUGAUUGUCAGGGUUUGUUCAAAAGCUCUGGGCAGCUGAACUGGUGUCUCCUUUCUCUUCACCCGUCAAUAGAUGCUCCCUGAAGGCUUCCUUCCAGCUGAAGACACAGGACAGGAGCAUCAGACAUCCAAUGCCAGGACAUUAGUAGGAAAAUUUCUUGCCACCACAACUACCAGCAGAGCCAGAAAGAGGUCAGUUU
RNAcentral lists this small RNA (238 nucleotides) under Choloepus hoffmanni (Hoffmann's two-fingered sloth). RNAcentral's name for it is "7SK RNA (ENSCHOG00000015628.1)". The record is from RNAcentral. Lineage: Eukaryota; Metazoa; Chordata; Mammalia; Pilosa; Megalonychidae.